UGUGAGGAGCCAACAGCAAGGGGGUUGGUCUGUGGGUGCAGCAAGGGGACGACAUUGCUAAGCAGGCUCCCGAAAGCACCAUGUUUCCAAGCUGCAGGUUGUCUUAGUCUUUGCUCUCAGCAUUGGUGCACUUGUAAUAUACUUCAUAGAUUCGUCAAACUCUUCCUGGCCAAGAAAGAGAAGAGCUUUUUAAGUUUGGAAAACUCCAACUGGUAUGUCAUUGAAGGUAAGCCUCAUUUAAAUAUCUCCUCUUCAGAAUUCUGGAUCAUAUUUGAAUUGAACCGAAUAUCCUCUAGAGCCGCUUGUCUUAUUUCUGCAUUUUCUCCCUCAGGGCUGAGGAGUGUUCUCAAAAGUCUUGGAGUGCACCCUGUGUCAGCUUCCGUGCCAGGGCUCAGGAAACAGUUUCAGGCUUGUAGUCUGUGAGCCCCAGGCAGGCAGACCCUUACGUGGAAGGGAAUGGGGUGAUCGGUCAGAAGGACCUUGGCGCCUUCUUUCCUUGUCUCUCCUUUUUGGCUCCUCUGUAUUUCUCAGAAAUAAAAUGCUCUUGUAAAAUUGAUUUGAACUGUGUCCUUUUUAACAGUGUCCACUGUGGAGUGGUCUUUGGCUCUGUUGGGUGUGUUGUUCUCAGCUCCAUGUGAAAGGAUAGAAGGGAAUAGAAUUCCCCAAGGCAAAGCCCUCUUUCCUGGAUGCCCCCUGCACCACCUCAGUCUCCUUUGGAUUUAGCUGUGAUUCUGCUGAGCCUGGGAAAGCCAGCCCUGGGAACCCU
This 766-nucleotide long non-coding RNA is filed under the name Capra hircus (goat). RNAcentral describes it as "lncRNA (ENSCHIG00010014499.1)". Lineage: Eukaryota; Metazoa; Chordata; Mammalia; Artiodactyla; Bovidae. The record is from RNAcentral.